GACUAACUAAAGUUACAAUAUACACAUGGUCUUAUAUACAAGUUGGCAAGGCAGAUGACAGCUUAACGUUUUGAUUUCGUCGGAUAACACUGAUGUUUACUACAAAAGUACGCACACUGGACAAUACACACAUUUUUCUAGUUUUGAACCAUUUUCACGUAAAACUGCGUGGGUUAAAUCUUUGUUUCACCGAGCAUCAAAAUUAUGCAGUACCAGUCAACUAUUUGAUAACCAAGUUCGGAAGCUUAAAAUGUUUAUGUCUUGGAAUGGCUUUCCUCGUGCGAUCAGGAAUUUAUUGAUAUCCAAACUAAAAAACAAAUUUUCUGCGGAUCGACCUCGCACUAACUUUUUUGAUGAAAACGACACUAGGCCUAAGGUUUGGGUUCGCGUUCCAUACCUUGGUAAACAAGGUGAAACUUUAGUUAAAAGUUGCAUAAAGAAAAUACAAAGAUGCCUAACUGUUCCUGUAAAUUUUAUAGUUGUUUAUGACAACAAAAAGUUUUCUUAUUUCCUUUCCAACAAAGACAAAAUUCCGAAUCUUUCGAAAUCCAAUGUAGUUUAUGAGGUGACAUGUCCUGGCUGUUCCGCAACGUAUAUUGGGAAAACAGAAAGACGUUUACAGACGCGACUUGCUGAACAUACCAAUCCGACCAAAAGUGCUAUUGGACAGCAUUUUCACAACUGCGAACAUGUGCAAUACAUUGUAAACCUUCACUUUGUUUUUGACAAACUUAACAACCCAACUGACGCUGACAAUAACGUUUCCACUUUUAUUUCCAACUUAAUAUCUGACAACUCUCGAAUUCUUCACACUAUUUAUUCUCGCACACCUAACUUACUCUUGUUGCUUGAAGCUCUAUAUAUCAAGUAUCAUUCACCCAGUUUAAACACUGGACUCAAAGCCAGCAAAGAACUCAAGCUUUUUUCUUAAUCUAUACACCCACAUUUCAUCACACUUACAUCUCACUGCAACUGUCGUGGUUCUGAUUGAGACUUCCGUUAAGCUGUCAUCAUGCCUUGCCAACUUGUAUAUAAGACCAUGUGUAUAUUGUAACUUUAGUUAGUCUGAUGAUGAUUUUGUAAUAAAAUCGAAAUAUUACUCACUCACUUUCUUGUUUGACUCAUAUUUUGGGUUUCAAGAUGCUUAUCUUCGGAUUAUGUUUUGUAUUAUAUUUUUUGAAAUUGUCGGCUGGUAUUGGUUUUUAGGAAAUUUAAAAUGAAGUUUUUUUGCAUUGGAAUAUUGCAACAGCCGAUAGGAACGUUGCAAAUUCCCUCGAAGGAUUUGCAAAGAGUUUUUCAAAUUUGCUAAGCUAAUGAGGAAAAUUCCAAAUGAGUUACGAAGUCAAAAGAGGAAUGCUUCACGUAGUUUACCUGUAAAAAUAGGAAAUCUUUCAUGUUUUAUGUUUUAGGAAAAAUAAGAAAUCUGUUUUAAGUAGAAUGAAUGAAAAAUAUUGCACUAGAAUCUAAAUUUAGAAGAAUAAAAGUUGAUAAUCA
Paramuricea clavata is the source of this 1494-nucleotide non-coding RNA. The record is from the annotation of a GenBank genome assembly. Lineage: Eukaryota; Metazoa; Cnidaria; Anthozoa; Malacalcyonacea; Plexauridae.